Molecule: long non-coding RNA, 2230 nt
Organism: Misgurnus anguillicaudatus (oriental weatherfish)
Lineage: Eukaryota; Metazoa; Chordata; Actinopteri; Cypriniformes; Cobitidae
Source: RefSeq, a predicted model, not a curated record
GAACCUAUAAAUAUACAGCAAUCGUCAACAGCAAUGAUUCCACUGUGUGGAGAGGCUUUUCUGAGAAUACAAAUGGAUUUUGUGUCUGUUUGGAUAAAGAUCACCAACUUGGUCUGUUCAUGAUGUCAAAUGUUUCCUGAGCAACGUACAUUUAUGGAAGAAUUUAAUUCCUUGCAGAAAUCCCACUGCCCUACUUUGCUUCCAGUUGCUGUGGUUCACACAAUGGGUGCUGUGAUGGCAAUUACCACUGAUGUUGGGAAUCCAAGAUGACACUGAUCUUAUCCACUGUGGAGGACUUGUCUAGGUGUUAGCUGCUAUGGAGACACUUCAGCCUGCUGACAGAGAGAGUGAAGUUUACAUUGCUUGUGUGUCUGUGCCAUACAGAGAACUACUGUAUAUGAAGAGAACUGACAUCAAGAUCGCAAAGGCACCCUCCAGUUCUGUCGUCAAGGGAAUGCUUUCUUUUCUGGGAUGAAAUUAAGAAUCUGGCAGCUACUCGAUGUCUACCAAUCCAAGAAGAAACCCACAGAGGCACUCAGAUAAAAAGAAAGAGAUAGUGAGAUACUGAAACACACACUGAUACUGGAGAAGAAACCUCAGGGAGCUGGUGCUGAUCCUCCAACUUAGCCCCUAAACUAAGCCAAACAGGCCUGACUUGAUUGGUUGUGUCUGGAAUUGACUUGCAUCGAUUGCAGUGGGGUAAGUUCGAUUUACAAGAAGCUGUUGAAGGUCGUAGUCUUUUUCAAUGGAGGGCUGAGAAAUUGUAGGAAUUUGUUUCUGUUUCGCAACCCACAUUUGAUUAUCAUCACCUUAUUACACAAGAGUUAGUUCUUGAUCUCAAUCCUGAUUGGAUGAGAGGCGCUCCAAAAGUACUAAAGUCAGCAUCAAACGGAAGUAGCGACUGUCUUAUUUUCCCCAUCGUGACGUGUAUCUGAGUAAAACGGCUUCUGGAAUGAGAAAAAAAAGACUUGAAUUUGUCCACCGAGAACUAAUUGGAUUGUUGGAAAUUGGGUCAAGUUGCUAUUUGCUAUCUUUUCCCUUGCCCCGUCCUCGAGUCAUUCCUCGUGGCCAGAAGUAAAGAGAAAGAGAGAUCGUUUCGAGGACGGGAUGAGAUUAGGGCUGUCACAAUGGUGAAAUAAUCGUUUCAUCGCGAUUGUUUGACCUCAUUGCAAUGAUUUCAGAUCACCGCAAUGAUUGCACAUCUCUCUAAAAAACACAAGGGGGAGCUGCAGCGCCUGUAUAAACGAGACAAUAUCAGAAGGCGCUCCUUAAUUGACAGUGCAACGUGAUACAUUGCAAAGCCAUUAAAUACUAAUUAAAUUAAUUGAAUAAUAAGGUGUACUAAUAUGACCUUAGUAGGAUUUGCUACUAUUUAAUGCCUGUUCUGGUGUAGUCAGUUUAUUUUGACUGCAUUUUUAUUUUCUGUUAUUUUUUUAGACACGUUAUUGUGUUUAUUUCUAAUGGAAAAAAAAAGUUUUUGAAAGAGAUAUUUGUGCGAAAAACAAGCAAAUGUCAAAGCAAUAAAACAGACAAUUAAUCGUCAUAAUCGGCAAAGUCCUAAAACAGGCAAUUAAUCGUCAUAAAUGUCAGAACCGUCAGUCAAAUUUCUUAAUCGUGACAGCCCUAGAUGAGAUUAGCGUUUUGAUUAAAGAUUGAGGGUAUGAACAUUGAGAUGUAAUCGCUGUAUUUUUAUGUGUGUGUGUUGUUUGAUUGAUUUAUAGUUAUUUAUUUAUUAUUAUUUUCUUUUCUAUUUUUACUUGAUAAUAAUGAAAAAAUGUAUACAGUUUAUACUAAAAUAUGUGAAAAUAUUUGACAAAUAAAAAUGUUUGAAAAAAGAUUAUGAGGGCACAUAAAUAAAAAACAAUGAAGCUCACAGAUAAGUAAUUUGUAAAAAAAUUUAAAAUGAAAAAAAAUCAUUUUUUGUCUGACAAUGCUUUAUUAUCCUCUUUGCAGUUUAAAGUCUAUCAUUAUACCAAAUUAUUCAUUUAUUCAUUUAAAAUGAGCUAACCAUUUAUUAUUUUAAAUGUUUACACUAAUACAUUAAUGUUUUUAGACGAGAUUUCAUUAAAACCAAAAAGAACAUACUGUUCAAAUUGAUAAUUUACGUCAAAUAUCUCAUCUGACCCCAGCAAUGACGCGUGCAAUUAAAAAGAGUAGUCUGACCUCUUGCAGCCCUCCCAUUGCUUCUCAGGAGGGGGCAGUUGGAUCAAUCCUCAUGUUGAGCUCUGGG